UACGAAGGGGGCAAGCGUUAUCCGGAAUUAUUGGGCGUAAAGCGUCCGCAGGUGGCACCUCAAGUCUGCUGUCAAAGACCGGGGCUUAACCCCAGAAAGGCAGUGGAAACUGAAGUGCUAGAGUGCAGUAGGGGUAGAGGGAAUUCCCGGUGUAGCGGUGAAAUGCGUAGAGAUCGGGAAGAACAUCGGUGGCGAAAGCGCUCUGCUGGACUGCAACUGACACUCAGGGACGAAAGCUAGGGGAGCGAAUGGG
Molecule: ribosomal RNA, 253 nt
Filed under: uncultured bacterium
Lineage: Bacteria
Description: partial 16S ribosomal RNA
Rfam family: Bacterial small subunit ribosomal RNA
Source: RNAcentral